GGGCUCGUAGUCGAGUGGUAAGACGUUCCCUUCACACGGGAAAGACCUGGAGUUCGAUUCUCCACGGGCCCA
RNAcentral lists this transfer RNA (72 nucleotides) under Microcaldota archaeon. RNAcentral's name for it is "tRNA-Val". It matches the Rfam family "tRNA". From Rfam's summary of the family: Transfer RNA (tRNA) molecules are approximately 80 nucleotides in length. Their secondary structure includes four short double-helical elements and three loops (D, anti-codon, and T loops). The record is from RNAcentral. Lineage: Archaea; Nanobdellati; Microcaldota.